Molecule: long non-coding RNA, 1681 nt
Organism: Nyctereutes procyonoides (raccoon dog)
Lineage: Eukaryota; Metazoa; Chordata; Mammalia; Carnivora; Canidae
Exons: 4
Source: RefSeq, a predicted model, not a curated record
CUGAGAUACACAGUUGGGUUCCUGUGGGGGAGGCCAGGGUGGAGGAGAAGGGCAGAGAGCAUCCCAGGAAUCAAGGCCGCUGUUCUUGUUUCCCCCUGGCUGACUUGGCCCGCACUGACUUGCCUGCCCAUGAGAGAGCCAUCCCCACCCAGCCUCUCUGUCUGUGAACACCUCCCCUGGGCGCAGCAGCUCACCGGGGCGCCAGCAGCAUUGGUGAGCCAGCUCCUCACUGGUGAAAGGGCACAGCCCCAGCCCCUGCUCCUAAAGCCUUGGUCAGAAGGAAUCCAGGCAAUCACCUGCUGGAGCCCAGCACCUUACUGAUGAGAGGAUGCAGGACCAAGUCCGUGCCUAGAGCAAAGUUCAGUGGGGAGUGAGCCAAGGAGGGAGGAGGCACAACCGAAAGGACACAGGAGUCCUAUCCACUACUCUGCAGGCUACGUGCAGGCUGGACUGGAGGUCACUCGCACAGCAUUUUAAGGAGGGAGGUACAGCAAUAGAGAUCAGAAAUUGUAAGUGACCAGAACCAACCAAAGGAAGUCCGUCUGUCCCAGAUCUUGAAGAAGAAGAAGAAGAAGAAGAAGAAGAAGAAGAAGAAGAAGAAGAAGAAGGAAAGAAAGAAAAGAAGAAAGAAAGAAAGAAAGAAAGAAAGAAAGAAAGAAAGAAAGAAAGAAAGAAAAAAGAAAGAAAGAAAGAAAGAAAAAAAGAAAGAAAGGAGAGGGCCCCUCUCAUCCUCAAGUUUCAGCAUCCACAAAUAACAAAAAAAAAUGAUUUAUAAUUAUUCAAGACUUCCAUAUUGAUGAAAUCCUCUAUCUUACUAUAUCCUCACACCUAUAUCCAUAACGUAGGAGCUGGACCCACCAUUUUGUAAGCGAUGAAAGGGCUGUGUGAGAGAAGUCAGGUGACUUCUCCAGGGUCUUACUGCUAGUAAAUGGCAGCAAUAGCUUUUCCCAAACAUUCCAGCCAGCACCUGCAUAUACAGUAAGCUUCACCACUUAAGACAGCCAGGAGAAUAUAAACAGACACACAUAUACAGCAUCCCAACCCCCAACCCCUCCCUCAAGCAACAUCUACCUACUAAUAAAGAUCAGAUUAUCUUAACCUCCAUAGAACCAUGUAUGUAUAGAGGUCAAGCAAAUGAGUAAAACAGUUUAUCAUACAUGCACUAAUUUAAAAGGUUUCAAAAAAAAAAAGGUUUCAACAAACAUGAACAUCCAGGGAAAGUAGGAAAGAAGGACAAUAGACCAGUCCUUCUCAAACUUUAAUAUGGAUAUUAAUUAUCUGGCAUGAUACGAAGAAUAAUGCCCCCCCAAAGAUAUCCACAUCUCCAGAGCCUGUGAAUAUGUUUAUGUUUUCUUACCUGACUAAAAGGACUUUCUUGAUAGGAUUAAGUGAAGGAAUUUGAGAAAGGGACAUAGGAUGGUCCAGAUAUAACCGCUAGGGAGGUGGGAAGGUCAGAGUCAGAAGAUAUGACAAGCAAACUAGAAGCCAGAGGUCAGAAUCAGAGAAAGUGAUUUGAAAAUGCUGCUACAGUGCUGGUUUUAGAUGGAAGAUGGGACCAUAGGCAAGAAAUGUAGGAAGGCUCUAAAAGCUGGCCAAGGCACAGAAAGAAUUCUCUAGAACUUCCAAGAGGAACACAGCCCUACCAACACCUUGAUUUUAGCCCAGUGAGAUCCACUUUGGA